This 2195-nucleotide ribosomal RNA is filed under the name Salmonella enterica subsp. enterica. RNAcentral's name for it is "partial 23S ribosomal RNA". It matches the Rfam family "Bacterial large subunit ribosomal RNA", at positions 711 to 2802 of the family's 2925-position model. The record is from RNAcentral. Lineage: Bacteria; Pseudomonadati; Pseudomonadota; Gammaproteobacteria; Enterobacterales; Enterobacteriaceae.
AGACCCGAAACCCGGUGAUCUAGCCAUGGGCAGGUUGAAGGUUGGGUAACACUAACUGGAGGACCGAACCGACUAAUGUUGAAAAAUUAGCGGAUGACCUGUGGCUGGGGGUGAAAGGCCAAUCAAACCGGGAGAUAGCUGGUUCUCCCCGAAAGCUAUUUAGGUAGCGCCUCGUGAAUUCAUCUCCGGGGGUAGAGCACUGUUUCGGCUAGGGGGCCAUCCCGGCUUACCAACCCGAUGCAAACUGCGAAUACCGGAGAAUGUUAUCACGGGAGACACACGGCGGGUGCUAACGUCCGUCGUGAAGAGGGAAACAACCCAGACCGCCAGCUAAGGUCCCAAAGUCAUGGUUAAGUGGGAAACGAUGUGGGAAGGCCCAGACAGCCAGGAUGUUGGCUUAGAAGCAGCCAUCAUUUAAAGAAAGCGUAAUAGCUCACUGGUCGAGUCGGCCUGCGCGGAAGAUGUAACGGGGCUAAACCAUGCACCGAAGCUGCGGCAGCGAACGUAUCACCCAAGACAACUUUACGGAGUUGACGAUUGACGGAGCGAAGCGACGUCAAAGCGUUCAUUAAAGUCGAGUUGGCUUAGGGAUACGUUCGUUGGGUAGGGGAGCGUUCUGUAAGCCAGUGAAGGUGUGUCGUGAGGCAUGCUGGAGGUAUCAGAAGUGCGAAUGCUGACAUAAGUAACGAUAAAGCGGGUGAAAAGCCCGCUCGCCGGAAGACCAAGGGUUCCUGUCCAACGUUAAUCGGGGCAGGGUGAGUCGACCCCUAAGGCGAGGCCGAAAGGCGUAGUCGAUGGGAAACGGGUUAAUAUUCCCGUACUUGGUGUUACUGCGAAGGGGGGACGGAGAAGGCUAUGUUGGCCGGGCGACGGUUGUCCCGGUUUAAGCGUGUAGGUGUGUGUUCCAGGUAAAUCCGGUUCACUUUAACACUGAGGCGUGAUGACGAGGCACUACGGUGCUGAAGCAACAAAUGCCCUGCUUCCAGGAAAAGCCUCUAAGCAUCAGGUAACAUCAAAUCGUACCCCAAACCGACACAGGUGGUCAGGUAGAGAAUACCAAGGCGCUUGAGAGAACUCGGGUGAAGGAACUAGGCAAAAUGGUGCCGUAACUUCGGGAGAAGGCACGCUGACACGUAGGUGAAGUGAUUUACUCAUGGAGCUGAAAUCAGUCGAAGAUACCAGCUGGCUGCAACUGUUUAUUAAAAACACAGCACUGUGCAAACACGAAAGUGGACGUAUACGGUGUGACGCCUGCCCGGUGCCGGAAGGUUAAUUGAUGGGGUCAGCGCAAGCGAAGCUCCUGAUCGAAGCCCCGGUAAACGGCGGCCGUAACUAUAACGGUCCUAAGGUAGCGAAAUUCCUUGUCGGGUAAGUUCCGACCUGCACGAAUGGCGUAAUGAUGGCCAGGCUGUCUCCACCCGAGACUCAGUGAAAUUGAACUCGCUGUGAAGAUGCAGUGUACCCGCGGCAAGACGGAAAGACCCCGUGAACCUUUACUAUAGCUUGACACUGAACAUUGAGCCUUGAUGUGUAGGAUAGGUGGGAGGCUUUGAAGCGUGGACGCCAGUCUGCGUGGAGCCGACCUUGAAAUACCACCCUUUAAUGUUUGAUGUUCUAACGUGGACCCGUGAUCCGGGUUGCGGACAGUGUCUGGUGGGUAGUUUGACUGGGGCGGUCUCCUCCUAAAGAGUAACGGAGGAGCACGAAGGUUGGCUAAUCCUGGUCGGACAUCAGGAGGUUAGUGCAAUGGCAUAAGCCAGCUUGACUGCGAGCGUGACGGCGCGAGCAGGUGCGAAAGCAGGUCAUAGUGAUCCGGUGGUUCUGAAUGGAAGGGCCAUCGCUCAACGGAUAAAAGGUACUCCGGGGAUAACAGGCUGAUACCGCCCAAGAGUUCAUAUCGACGGCGGUGUUUGGCACCUCGAUGUCGGCUCAUCACAUCCUGGGGCUGAAGUAGGUCCCAAGGGUAUGGCUGUUCGCCAUUUAAAGUGGUACGCGAGCUGGGUUUAGAACGUCGUGAGACAGUUCGGUCCCUAUCUGCCGUGGGCGCUGGAGAACUGAGGGGGGCUGCUCCUAGUACGAGAGGACCGGAGUGGACGCAUCACUGGUGUUCGGGUUGUCAUGCCAAUGGCACUGCCCGGUAGCUAAAUGCGGAAGAGAUAAGUGCUGAAAGCAUCUAAGCACGAAACUUGCCCCGA